This 253-nucleotide ribosomal RNA is filed under the name uncultured bacterium. RNAcentral describes it as "partial 16S ribosomal RNA". It matches the Rfam family "Bacterial small subunit ribosomal RNA", at positions 524 to 776 of the family's 1533-position model. The record is from RNAcentral.
UACGUAGGUGGCGAGCGUUGUCCGGAUUUACUGGGCGUAAAGAGCGCGCAGGCGGUCGUACAAGUCGCGUGUGAAAGCCCCUGGCUCAACUGGGGAGGGUCACGCGAUACUGUUCGACUUGAAGGCAGGAGAGGGAAGUGGAAUUCCCGGUGUAGUGGUGAAAUGCGUAGAUAUCGGGAGGAACACCAGUGGCGAAGGCGGCAUCCUGGACCAAUUCUGACGCUGAGGAGCGAAAGCCAGGGGAGCAAACGGG